Peromyscus leucopus (white-footed mouse) is the source of this 3370-nucleotide long non-coding RNA. RefSeq lists it as uncharacterized. The transcript is spliced from 3 exons. NCBI's taxonomy places the organism in Eukaryota, Metazoa, Chordata, Mammalia, Rodentia, Cricetidae. The record is from RefSeq and is a predicted model, not a curated record.
CUGCGCAUGCUCGGGCGGAGCGGGAGCGGAGCCCGGUAAGGUUUAGAGCCGUGGGCAGACCUGGCGUGUGGACCCCGUGAGUCCCGUCGGAGCGCCCGGUGUUCUCUGUACUUUCGGUUCCGUUUUCUCAGAGUGGAUGCCAUGCUAGUACUUCCUAUCUCACAGCUGUUUACGGUCACUUAAAUGAUCAUGCUAAAGCCUGUGAUGAUCCAAGUCUGUAGGAAGAAAUUGGUUCAAACUCGGAGCGGGGUGGAGACGAAAUUUCGUUGUACCAAUUUCCCAAGUUAAUGAGAGACUCAGCACACGCACGCACGCACGCACGCACACACCAUCUUCAGUGUGUGUCCUAGAGGUGGCAGUCUCCUCCAAGCUACAGCAAAGACUUCCUAUGGUUUGUUUAUUUACUUAACUAAAACCAAGGUCAUUCAAAUUCCUAACAUGUCAUGUGCUUUGAGGGCUCGCCUACCAGAUGAGAAUUCUCACUGAUAGCAGGCAUGAAGAGACUCUGAACGUAUUUUCAAUACCAAGCCUUGUGCUGGACUCCCUGAACUGCCAGUUGGACAUUUGUGUGCAGGAGAAUUAAGAUGUGCCAUUUGUGGACAACACCUGAAAUAGAAAACUGAAACUUUCCAUCUUGCGGGGAAGUCCCUGAACCUGACCAAAUGCAAUAGGCCAUCUCCCUCUCCCUGCCAGAAUAAACAAUAAAAGCUGAGAGUCCCUCUCAGACUCAAAAAAGCCAAACUUCAAAGAAGACUCUCAGACUAGCCAAGCUGCAACGAAGACUGAGAAGCUGAGCUGCCUGGUUUGGACCAGCAUCCCUUGGAAAGGACACUGCCCCACCUCUGAAGCUGCCUGCAGGCUGUGCAGUGUCCUCCAGGCUUCCCAGCUCUUGUGAGCUGUCACCCAUGCUGGGGUGGGCCUUGGCAAUGCAGAUGUCUGUGAGUCAUUUCUGCUCCUGUAGUAGUCGGUCACCCACACUCCACAGUAAAUCCCGCUGGCUCACCAGUUGGGCUUUGAUGGUCUGUUGUGGGCUCCCUAUCUGUAAGAGCAGACGUGUGUGCUGCAUCUCCCUGGGAAAAGUUUUGUCAUACAACAAACAUCAUGGCCAAAAGCAACUCUGAGAAACACACACACCAAUCACAGUUCAUCACUGAGUGAAGUCAGAGCAGGAACUCGAGGCAGGAACUAAAGCAGAAGCCAUAAAGGAGCGCUGCUGACUGGCUUACUCUCCAUAGCUUGCUCAGCACUCUUUCAACUUGGUACUACCUGCCUAGGGUUGUACUGCUCCCAAUCACAAAUCAAAAAAACAAAAAAAUAGUCUACAGAUUUACAUCCAGAUAUCUCCAGCUUGUGUCAAGUUAACAAAAUAACUAACCAGAACAGAAAGGAUUGCCUUUAGUUUAAAGCCAGCCUGCAGUGCAUAGUUCCAGGCAAGCCUGAUUGUAGAGGAAGAGAUCCUGUCUCAAAACACCAAAAAAAGAAAAAAAAAAAAACUCAAAUAAAUGAAAAAGAAGCAUACAUGGUCAAUGAGAUGUUUAGUAGGGAAAGGCCCUUGCCAUGAGCCCAAUGAUCUUAAUUCACCUUCCUGAGACCUGCAGGGAGGAGAGAACCAACUCAUGCAAGUUGUCUUCUGAAUUCCACAAGCUUUCUGUGACAUUCGUGCAACCACCCACACACAGGCACACACAACGCAAAUAGUGAGUGUAAUAAAAAUUUUAGUAAGCAGCUUUAAAGGCAAAACACUUUAAGUGCCUCUGAAAACUAAUGCAGAAUUGUACACAGUCACUUUUAGAAAUCUGUUAACUAUCCUCUUGUCAUGGGUAGAGUCUUAUUAGAGUUUCUAUUGCUGUGAAAGGACAUCAUGAUCAGGGCAACUCUUAAUUAAAAAAAAAAAACAUUUAAUUGGGCUGACUUACAGUUUCAGAGGUCUGGUCCAUUAUUGUCGUGGUGGGUGGCAUGGUGGCAUUCGGACAGACAUGGUGCUGGAGAAGGAGCCAAGAGUUCUACAGAAGGAUCUUCACAGCAGGAAGUGACAGUGACAUUGGGCCUGGCUUGAGCACCUGAAACCUCAAAGCCUGCCCUCACUUCCUCCACCAAGGCCAGACCUAUUCCAACAAGGGCAUAUCUUCUAAUAGUGCCUAUGUAUGGGCCUAUGGGGGUCAAUUACAUCCAAACUACCACAGGUAGUGAAUGGAAAAGUAAAGACAUGAUGGCUCCCUGGUAUGGUUGAGGAGAAAGUUUAUUGUAGAUAUGAGGGAGAAAACAUCCAGAGGCAUCCAGACUUAACCAGGCUAUGAAGGGGAAGAGGGAAGGGGAAGAGUGAAAGAGAAGAGGUGGGCAAAAAAAGGAGCCAAGGACCAGAGAUCUAACAUUCCAGCCUUUGUUGAUAAUAAAGGCCGACAUAAUCUCUUCUGUAAUUAUUUCCUAUUGAAAUUGGGAUUGUCUGGGGAGAGGAGCCAGGAAGACUAGAAUGAUGGUCAAAGAAGGGGAAGAAAGAGAGGGGUGCAGACUGGGGGACAUCUGUUUCACCAGCUGUUUGGGUUCUGCCAAACUAUCUGGGGCUAGGGAAGGGCAGGCUGCUUUGGAGCCUGCUGGAUGCAGGUUCCAAGGAACACCUGGGACUGGCACAUUAUAGGCAGGUUUUCAGCAGUCUGCAGUUGACUAGAAGUCUGCUGGGACAGAUAGAGAUCAGGGGAAGAAGGCAAAGUUAAGGGGUUUAGAAAAAAUUUUUAUCUUGGGUGUAUAUUUGAAACUUCCAGACCCAUGGUCUUGGCAGUCGGGAAGAAUGUUAUGCCCAUGUCAGGAGCCCCCAGAGACCACCAGGAGUCUGAGUGUUCAUAUGCAAAAGCAAAGAACCUUUAUUGCAAGCUCAGGCUUAGGUUCUCCAUCCGUUCUGACACAGGGGAUCAGGGAGAGUAUCGAGCUCAGCUGAGGCAGGGUUUUUAAGGAGCAAAGAAUGGGAGGGUAGGGGAAUACCGGAUUCAGAUGGGGGCUGAACUCCUGAUUGGGAAGGAGUGGGGCACAGAAGUCUUGUCAAGCAGGGAUUGGUACUGGCAUUGCUGCAAGGAAAUUGGCAACUUAUAUACAAGUGAUGUGAGCUAUCCCUUAUGUUCUGGAGCAUCUAGUACUUUUCAGGAGACAAUUCUGAUUGGUCUCCUGCAGGAUACAGUUUGUGGUUUUUUUCUUACCACUUCCCCAAAAGAGUUUUUUAAGUUUACAAAAAGAGAUAAAAGUUUUAGAUGUGUUAGUAUUACCACUGUUUGUAAUUUGUACUGAAAUCUGCAUUGUAGAAAAAACAAUAGAUUCGUAGUCAUAGUCAUUUAUUAUGAGACACAAGUAGUUGAUUACUGGGAGCAGUCAUUGCAAAGCA